ACCCAUUCCGUUUGGGAUAUUUAGACAUUCAGAAGAGGCACCCGAGACCUGAUGCCCGACAGGGGUUGGAGCUCAGAGUUGGUGCUGACAAGAGAGGCUGGAAGUGAGGACCAUCUGCAUGGAGGUGUCAGCUUCUCACAGGUGACCCUGACGACCCACCACCCCAGCUGUUCUCCAUCACCUGACAGCUGAGCCUCCAAGAUGCUGGCGAGUUCUGCCUGUGCAUGGCUUUGACCAGCUCCAGCCAGAAAGAGGAACUUUCAGAGUCCAGGUUUGGGGCCUGUGGAUGAGUUACCUGUUACCAAGAAAGGUUACCGAGUCUCCAUCACUCUUUUGGGAAUGAGGCCACUUCCUACUGACAGAUCCUGUAGCUAUUUAUGGAGAGUUUUGGCCUUUCAGCAUCCAAUCCCUCUUUCAAUCAGGAGGCGUUCUCCACUGUGUAUUAUCUGAGAGGGUCCCAAUGUACCACCUCCUGCUGUGGAAGCCAAAGCUGGGGUGGGGGAAGCAGGAGGUGAGAAUGUGACUCAGGAUCAGUCAACCACAUGGGACCCUGAAUCUUGCAGGAGAGGCAGAAAGAGUCAGAUGUGGUUUAUAAAUUAUUGGCAGUUAUUGAAAGUCUAGAGGUGCAGCAUCAAGUGUCCAGCAUGGUGACAUCUCACUCCAGUAUUCUAAUUACUUUCUCCCGUAGUGAACUGGGCUCUGGUUCCAGCUCCCUGGCCUCCUUUGCUUUCUGUGUAUUUCCUGGGCCUGGCCUGGCCUUCCAGCCUUUAUGCCUUGCAGUGAAUUUUCCUUUCAUCCAAGUUAGUCAGACUGGGUUUCUGUUGCUUGCUGCCAAGAACCUUGACAAUGUAGAACAGCGAAGGGAUGUGCUAUAAGGCAUGAGCAAUAGGUUCAACUGGACCCAAGACACACACACUGUAUGAAAGUUACCCUCCUGCAAGCGACCCAGAAUGUCAAUCCUCCAGUGAGAGAGACAGAGAAUAAAUAAAUGUCUAUACAUAAAUACACACACACACACACACACACACACUCACACACACACACACAUAUGUCAGGUGGUGACAAGAGAAAAAUAAAGUACAAUGAAGGAGUAGAGAUCGAGUGGGCAGUAUUUUAGAUGGGGUGGUCAGAGAAGGGGGAGGUGAGCAGAGGCCUGAGUGGAGUGACAGAGCAGCCAAGUCGGGUACUCAGAAGAGCUUUCCAGGCAAAGGGAGCCCCAAGUGAAAAGAUGCCAAGGCAAAAAAAAAAGUGUCACCUCUCUGUCUCUCCUGCUGGCACAGCUUCCUGAGAGCAGGGACUCUGUCUGUUUUCUUCACAUCCACCAGGCCUAGGACACUUUCUGUCAUGUAAAUAUCUGUUCAUGAAUGAAUAUCUGCCUGGCACGCAGGGUACAGUUCUUCACACAUCAUUUGCAGUUCUUCCCGAUUUGCCUACAGUGGGGCAUAGGAUGGGAAGGAACUCGUCAGGAGUAGGUUUCAGACAUGGGACCUGGGUGAGACAGGAUAGGUUACCUUAGUUGUCCCCUGAAACUCAAUAUGAUCCUCAUGCAGUUGUCAGGAGGGGUUAUAUUAUUUCAUGUUUGUAAAGGUCUUAGCACCAAGGGCACAGGCCUUUAUGUUCUAGAGGUUGGCUGUUAUUAUUACUGUUCUUACCAAUCAAUAAUAAACUGUAAAUCU
Molecule: long non-coding RNA, 1676 nt
Organism: Homo sapiens (human)
Lineage: Eukaryota; Metazoa; Chordata; Mammalia; Primates; Hominidae
Source: Ensembl